GGUAGUUAGGUACCAGACGAAACUUCUAGUUUGCAGCAUGCGGCAGCAUGGACGGCAUGACUUCGUUUUGGAAGGUUUUCUUCUCAAAAAUUGUUGAAAAUGCGUGGUUUUGGAGGUUGCUUGCCUCACUUAUUGCCACAAGAACAAGUUUAGAUGUUGGUGAAAUCCGUCAGAAACUGUGUAUCUCUGUGAAUUGCUGGGUUUGAGUCUUGACUUGAAGAACCAUGCGGCUGAAAAUGGGAUUUGAAUGUCGCGGCAUUUCUGCACGUGGUCUGAGCCAUGCGCCAGCACACGAAUGGGAAAAUGGUCCUUGAGAGCAUAGGAGGCCUCAUCUCAGCAGGAGUCUUCAUCUAUGAGAAUGGGCUAUUACGAUUCCAGUCGGCCACACUUCAAGAAACAGCCUAUGGACUCCUGGUGGAAAAACAACAGCGCAAGCUGCAUGAGACAUACACCAUCUACUUAGAGCAACGGUACCUCGGAUUCAUCAAUGAAAAAGAAAGGAAGACAUUCAGCCAAAAAAGAAGAGUUGAAUGGUUCAGCAGAGAAAGGAAGACAUUCAGCCAAAAAAGAAGAGUUGAAUGGUUCAGCAGAGAAAGGAAGACAUUCAGCCAAAAAAGAAGCGUCGAAUGGUUCAGCAGAGGUCCUUGAGAGCAUAGGAGGCCUCAUCUCAGCAGGCGUCUUCAUCUAUGAGAAUGGGCUGUUACGAUUCCAGUCGGCCACACUUCAUGAAACAGCCUAUGGACUCCUGGUGGAAAAACAACGGCGCAAGCUGCAUCAGAGAUGCACCAUCUACUUAGAGCAACGUUACCUCGGAUCCAUCAACGAAAAAAAAAGGAAGACAUUCAGCC
This 848-nucleotide unclassified non-coding RNA is filed under the name Patiria miniata (bat star). RNAcentral's name for it is "uncharacterized LOC119732380, transcript variant X6". Lineage: Eukaryota; Metazoa; Echinodermata; Asteroidea; Valvatida; Asterinidae. The record is from RNAcentral.